GUCCAAAAUCUCUCAUGUAGCAGUUAGUGCAGUAUGGCUUCUCAUCGUGCUGCAAAGACAUGUAAAAACAGUGACAUUAAAAGGCAACAUAUACUGAAUAGUACAGGGGU
Sinocyclocheilus anshuiensis is the source of this 110-nucleotide long non-coding RNA. RefSeq lists it as uncharacterized. Lineage: Eukaryota; Metazoa; Chordata; Actinopteri; Cypriniformes; Cyprinidae. The record is from RefSeq and is a predicted model, not a curated record. The transcript is spliced from 3 exons.